AAGGAUCAUUACCGAAUAAAAUCCGGCUGUGUUGUUGCUGUCCUCCCUGGAAUGUGCACACCCAGCUGUUGGUUUCCACCUUCACCCGUGCACCUCUCUGUAGGCGGGUCUUGCUUGGCAUCUGAAAGCCCAAGGCGCCGUUUGGUCGCUUUGAGGAUGGCAUUUUGCUGGGCAAUGCACCGGUCUACGUAUCUCUGUACAACCCUACUUAGAAUGCUUCUUUGUGUUUGGUUUUAAUACAAACUACAACUUUCGGCAACGGAUCUCUGGGCUCUC
Molecule: unclassified non-coding RNA, 276 nt
Filed under: uncultured fungus
Lineage: Eukaryota; Fungi
Description: partial contains 18S rRNA, ITS1, 5.8S rRNA, ITS2 and 28S rRNA
Source: RNAcentral